RNAcentral lists this ribosomal RNA (649 nucleotides) under Pseudomonas taiwanensis. RNAcentral's name for it is "bacterial SSU rRNA". It matches the Rfam family "Bacterial small subunit ribosomal RNA", at positions 74 to 719 of the family's 1533-position model. The record is from RNAcentral. Lineage: Bacteria; Pseudomonadati; Pseudomonadota; Gammaproteobacteria; Pseudomonadales; Pseudomonadaceae.
GGGAGCUUGCUCCUUGAUUCAGCGGCGGACGGGUGAGUAAUGCCUAGGAAUCUGCCUGGUAGUGGGGGACAACGUUCCGAAAGGAGCGCUAAUACCGCAUACGUCCUACGGGAGAAAGUGGGGGAUCUUCGGACCUCACGCUAUCAGAUGAGCCUAGGUCGGAUUAGCUAGUUGGUGAGGUAAAGGCUCACCAAGGCGACGAUCCGUAACUGGUCUGAGAGGAUGAUCAGUCACACUGGAACUGAGACACGGUCCAGACUCCUACGGGAGGCAGCAGUGGGGAAUAUUGGACAAUGGGCGAAAGCCUGAUCCAGCCAUGCCGCGUGUGUGAAGAAGGUCUUCGGAUUGUAAAGCACUUUAAGUUGGGAGGAAGGGCAGUAAGUUAAUACCUUGCUGUUUUGACGUUACCGACAGAAUAAGCACCGGCUAACUCUGUGCCAGCAGCCGCGGUAAUACAGAGGGUGCAAGCGUUAAUCGGAAUUACUGGGCGUAAAGCGCGCGUAGGUGGUUCGUUAAGUUGGAUGUGAAAGCCCCGGGCUCAACCUGGGAACUGCAUCCAAAACUGGCGAGCUAGAGUAUGGUAGAGGGUGGUGGAAUUUCCUGUGUAGCGGUGAAAUGCGUAGAUAUAGGAAGGAACACCAGUGGCGAA